RNAcentral lists this ribosomal RNA (360 nucleotides) under Chaetodon paucifasciatus (Eritrean butterflyfish). Its description in RNAcentral is "partial 12S ribosomal RNA". It matches the Rfam family "Bacterial small subunit ribosomal RNA", at positions 803 to 1364 of the family's 1533-position model. Lineage: Eukaryota; Metazoa; Chordata; Actinopteri; Chaetodontiformes; Chaetodontidae. RNAcentral also lists the same sequence under 1 other name. The record is from RNAcentral.
UAAACAUUGACAGUUAAUUACACCCACUGUCCGCCUGGGAACUACGAGCGCUAGCUUAAAACCCAAAGGACUUGGCGGUGCUUUAGACCCACCUAGAGGAGCCUGUUCUAGAACCGAUAAUCCCCGUUAAACCUCACCCUUCCUUGUUCUUUCCCGCCUAUAUACCACCGUCGUCAGCUUACCCUGUGAAGGCCCAAUAGUAAGCACAAUCGGCAAUGCCCAAAACGUCAGGUCGAGGUGUAGCGAAUGGAAGGGGAAGAAAUGGGCUACAUUUACUGAUACAGUAAAUACGGAUGAUUACCCUGCAACGAGUAUCUGAAGGAGGAUUUAGCAGUAAGCAAAAAGCAGAGUGUUUUGCUG